This 498-nucleotide ribosomal RNA is filed under the name uncultured bacterium. RNAcentral's name for it is "partial 16S ribosomal RNA". It matches the Rfam family "Bacterial small subunit ribosomal RNA", at positions 30 to 523 of the family's 1533-position model. The record is from RNAcentral.
AUUGAACGCUGGCGGCAUGCCUUACACAUGCAAGUCGAACGGUAACAGGUCUUCGGAUGCUGACGAGUGGCGAACGGGUGAGUAAUACAUCGGAACGUGCCUAGUAGUGGGGGAUAACUACUCGAAAGAGUGGCUAAUACCGCAUGAGAUCUACGGAUGAAAGCAGGGGAUCGCAAGACCUUGUGCUACUAGAGCGGCCGAUGGCAGAUUAGGUAGUUGGUGGGAUAAAAGCUUACCAAGCCGACGAUCUGUAGCUGGUCUGAGAGGACGAUCAGCCACACUGGGACUGAAACACAGCCCAGACUCCUACGGGAGUCAGCAGUGGGGAACUUUGGACAAUGGGCGAAAGCCUGAUCCAGCAAUGCCGCGUGCAGGAUGAAGGCCUUCGGGUUGUAAACUGCUUUUGUACGGAACGAAAAGCCCCGGGUUAAUACCCUGGGGUCAUGACGGUACCGUAAGAAUAAGCACCGGCUAACUACGUGCCAGCCGCCGCAGUAA